Molecule: ribosomal RNA, 110 nt
Filed under: Gnathopogon elongatus elongatus
Lineage: Eukaryota; Metazoa; Chordata; Actinopteri; Cypriniformes; Gobionidae
Description: partial 16S ribosomal RNA
Source: RNAcentral
GCCAAACAGCUAGCCUGACCACUAACAUAAAUCAACGAUAUAAAUAACAAAACAUAAAUUAUUACCAAAAAUUAAACCAUUUUUUUACCUGAGUAUGGGAGACAGAAAAG